Long non-coding RNA from Telopea speciosissima, 389 nucleotides. RefSeq lists it as uncharacterized. The record is from RefSeq and is a predicted model, not a curated record. The transcript has 2 exons. NCBI's taxonomy places the organism in Eukaryota, Viridiplantae, Streptophyta, Magnoliopsida, Proteales, Proteaceae.
AGGGAGGUUCCGAAUCGGAUAAGUCAAUUGAAGAGGCAGCUUUGAGAGAGUCAGAGGAAGAAGCUGGUGUAAGAGGCAAAGUUCAGAAUAAACUAGGUGAAUGGGGUUUCAGGAGACAAAGAUAUAACACAAUCUAUGAAGGUGUGUCAUGUUCCCUUUACUUGUUAAAGAACAACUUGAUCAAUGGUCUGAGAAGAACCAUCGGCAAAGGAAAUGGGUAAGUAUAGUUUUAAUGAACCUCAGAUUUGCAUCAAUGGAAACUGAAGUUAAAAUGUAAUUCUUGGUGGUUUGAUUUUUAAUUAUAGGUGAUUGUGACUGAGGCUAGAGAACUGUGUCAACAUUGGUGGAUGAAAGAAGCACUAGACAGACUGGUUAGACGCUUGAUGCAA